Long non-coding RNA from Glycine soja, 1022 nucleotides. RefSeq lists it as uncharacterized. NCBI's taxonomy places the organism in Eukaryota, Viridiplantae, Streptophyta, Magnoliopsida, Fabales, Fabaceae. The record is from RefSeq and is a predicted model, not a curated record. The transcript has 3 exons.
UUUUAUGUGGUCCAUAUAUUGAACUGGCCACAAUGAUAUCUGAACAUUUCAACUACUUCACGAAAGUAAAUUAUGGUAUGUAGCUUAAUGAAUUUAAGUAGAGCAGUUCAGUUACCGACUUCAAUCCACCCACAAAGAUCAAACCUUUGAGAUUUGCAAACUUGUGCUUGUUGCAAACAAUCCAACUUUUUUCAUCAGUCUCUGUGUCCAUUUUCGUUCAAAAGUCUAAAAAUUUUCCCCACAAUUCAUCCUUGAACGUGCCUUUGCUACCCGAGUCAGGGCAUGCCAAAGACGAGGAGAAAGUCACAGACUCUUAUCCUUCUACCGAAAACACUGCAUCCUUCUUUCACACCUGCUUCAAUGGACUCAAUGCAAUAUCAGGUGUUGGAAUACUCUCUUGUCCGUACACUCUCGCAUCUCGGGGUUGGUUAAGCUUGGCCUUUUUGUUUGCUAUUGCUUCUGCAACGUUUUACACAGGGAUUUUGAUUAAAAGAUGCAUGGAUACGAGUUCGAAUAUCAGAAGCUACCCUGAUGUGAACUUGCAUUUGGAAAGACUGGAAGGUUAAUGAUAUCAGGGUUAAUGUACACGGAGCUCUACUUGGUUUCAAUAGGGUUCUUGAUUCUGGAAGGCGAUAACUUGAGUAACUUGUUCCCUAAUAGGGAGAUUCAGAUAGCUGGCUUUGUAAUUGGUGGGAAGCAACUAUUUGUGAUAUUGGUUGCCCUUAUCAUCCUGCCCACAGUUUGGUUGGACAACUUUACAAUGUCAUAAAUAUAGAAACUGUAUUCCACUAAACAGUGAGCAGAAAACGUGAGUCUUCAUAGUGCUCGUAUGAAUAAAACAUGUCUCUGCACCAAUGAUUAGCCAGCCAUCCUUCUCAAAAUCUUCACAAGCUUUUUAUCUACCCCAGAAUUCAAGGCGGUGUAUUUUGAUUAUGUUGGGGAAGGUAUUAUAGUUAGUUUUUAAUUAGAUGAAAAACUUAUUUGAUUAUUUCAUAAAUAAACUCUUUUAAUAGUUUUUAGCA